AGUAACACGUGGGUGACCUGCCCUUAGCUCUGGGAUAAGCCUGGGAAACUGGGUCUAAUACCGGAUAUGACUCCAUGACGCAUGUUAUGGGGUGGAAAGCCUUGUGCGGCUAGGGAUGGGCCCGCGGCCUAUCAGCUUGUUGGUGGGGUGAUGGCCUACCAAGGCGACGACGGGUAGCCGGCCUGAGAGGGCGACCGGCCACACUGGGACUGAGACACGGCCCAG
Molecule: ribosomal RNA, 225 nt
Filed under: uncultured bacterium
Lineage: Bacteria
Description: partial 16S ribosomal RNA
Rfam family: Bacterial small subunit ribosomal RNA
Source: RNAcentral